UACGAAGGGGGCUAGCGUUGCUCGGAAUCACUGGGCGUAAAGGGUGCGUAGGCGGGUCUUUAAGUCAGGGGUGAAAUCCUGGAGCUCAACUCCAGAACUGCCUUUGAUACUGAGGAUCUUGAGUUCGGGAGAGGUGAGUGGAACUGCGAGUGUAGAGGUGAAAUUCGUAGAUAUUCGCAAAGAACACCAGUGGCGAAGGCGGCUCACUGGCCCGAUACUGACGCUGAGGCACGGAAAGCGUGGGGAGCAAACAGG
This 255-nucleotide ribosomal RNA is filed under the name uncultured bacterium. RNAcentral's name for it is "partial 16S ribosomal RNA". It matches the Rfam family "Bacterial small subunit ribosomal RNA", at positions 524 to 776 of the family's 1533-position model. The record is from RNAcentral.